Sorghum bicolor (sorghum) is the source of this 836-nucleotide long non-coding RNA. RefSeq lists it as uncharacterized. Lineage: Eukaryota; Viridiplantae; Streptophyta; Magnoliopsida; Poales; Poaceae. The record is from RefSeq and is a predicted model, not a curated record. The transcript is spliced from 2 exons.
CGCCCGUUGCAACUUGCAACUUGCAGCAAACAAAGGCGCCAUCGCCGUUCGCAACUCCAACCCACCGAAUCCGUUCACGCAAAGUCAAAACAACUCCGCCAUCUCAUCUUCCUCGAUCAAAAACAAGGCGGACAAUGUCAACGCUCCUCGGCACCAACACAAUUCCUAGCCCAACGCCAUCUACUGCCCUUGCAGCACACGGGAGAGGGGAGGGAGAUAGAGAGCGCGAGAGAGAUCCGGCCGCAACGCUGCGCGCUGUUCUUCUUCUCCAGGUCAAGGUUCUCUCCGGACUUCCGGAGAACUGCGCGCCGGUGACCGUUAGAGCAUGGCGGCCGCCGGCGCUAAGAUCUGGCGGUCACAACUCACAACCUAGCCGCGCCGCCGAUGAGGUUCGGUUCGUUCUGCUUUGAGCUUUGUUCCUCGGUUUUGGCCUGUGGUUCCAUAAUUCCGUGGCGACGAGAGACCCAUAUUACAUCCGGACGGUCCUGAUCCGCCCUCUGUCAACGGGACCGAGCUGUUGAUGGGGAAAAAAUUAGGAAGGGACGUCGGAGCCAUUCCCUGCCGCGUUCAUCCUUAAUCAACCAUGGUUCAGGACUUCAGGGGAGGAUGAUAAAUAAAUUCGCAUGAUGAGAUUGAACCUUUCCGAGCUGCUUUCUUUCCUGAGCAUGAUCAUCAUUAGUUCCAUGCAAGCUAUAAACGGGGGGAAACGACAGCAAGAACAUCAGAGGUUAUACCAUAACCAUCAUCUAUUUGGUUUCUAUGUUCGAAGCUACAUAUACAUAUUAUAUUUAUGAAUUAUAAAAAUUUAUCUUAAGGACCAGCUCCUUGCAUUUACA